Molecule: long non-coding RNA, 2062 nt
Organism: Oxyura jamaicensis (ruddy duck)
Lineage: Eukaryota; Metazoa; Chordata; Aves; Anseriformes; Anatidae
Exons: 2
Source: RefSeq, a predicted model, not a curated record
UUUUGCCAUUGAGAUGGUUAUGACAAUCUCCAUCAAAAUUUAGAACUUCAGAUGAUCUUUGUAUUUUCCAUGUGCACGCCCUGGAGGUAAGAAGCACAAUUUAGAAUUUAUCCAAAGGUGUGUUUAUCCAAAGAAGCCAGUGUAAGGAGUGCUUGGUCAGUUUGAUGCUCUUGUGGUUACCACAUUGCUGAGGAAAUACUCUGCUGUAUUCUGUAAAGUGUGAUUGGUUAAUGCAGUUGUGCCAAAGCAUGAAUAACUGGUCAUCAUCCACUGGGAUAAGACUGAAUCUUCUAGAUAAUCAAAGACAGGUGAAUGUAUUAGUUAUUACUGUUAUCUGAGUAUAGAUUAAGAAAGAAAUCAUAAAAUAAUUUUGGUUUGAAAGGUCUCCUUGGAGACAUAUAGUCCAGCAUCCCCAUUCAAUUCAGAAUCCAUUAGAUCAUGUUAUUCAGUAGUAUUUUCUGUGGUGUUUUUUAAUAUCUCCAAAGACAUUGAUCCCACAGCUUCAUUCAGUUCCUGUUCCUAAGCUUGACCACCCUCAUGGUGAUUUGCUUUUUCUAACAUUUAAUAGAUUUUUUUAUUGCAGCUGAUACCUGUGAGUCUGGUAAUAUGUCUAAACUACACACCGACUGCUCCAAUUGUGUGUACCUUCAGCCAAAGAAAGGUAUACAUGAUAGAAGGCUUUCCAUAAUACUUUCAUUUAUCUAACAUUAUGACCAUUUUCUUUCUCAGGUUCUGCCUUGACCAGCUGGUUUUCAUCCAUGAGCUGAUCUGAACCUUCUGUGCUGUCUUGAUGUAGACAGGUUGUGCCAAGAGAUGCACAGGGCUAUGUGAAGAUGAAGUUGAUUCCUCUCCUGACUGAAGUUAUCAGCAGUUCAGUCAUAACGGUCACUCCAGUUCUAAUAUGGCAUCUUUAAGAAGUGAAGAAGGAUGUUUGUGAGAUUCACAGCCAGGAGUACAGCCUGGAGUGUGUUUCCUGAAUUACCUAAUACUCUGUUGACAAUGCUAAAGAAGCAGUUUUAGCACGUUUGUUGUAAAGAAAUUUCAAGGUUCUUUCAUAUCUAUUCAUUAGUCUAAGAAAUUACAUUGUCUCCUUUUUUUUAAGUGAAUAGUUUAAGAUACAGUCCUGUCUUUAUUUGUCCUUCCAUUUAAUUUUAACUGAAACAACAUUCAAAAGGAGGCCCAAAAAAGUGAUGAUACUGCCAAUAAUGUCCUGGUAAUGAUAUAUGUAUUUAAGGCAGAAUUUAUUUGACUCAACGUUGGUGAUUACUAUGUAGGCGUCCACAACACGGCAAGUUGCCCAUGAUGAUUUUAUAGUCUUUGGAGGGCUUGUUACUAUGUCAGUGGAGUCUAGGAUGCAAUUCAGACCUUCGAAAACAGAGAGGUGAACUGCAGCUAAAGCCCACUGAGCACAGAGGGAGAUGAAUCAGCUAUCUUAGAUAGAAACACCUAAAUGUAGAUGGGAUAAGUAGCACUUCUAAUCUGAAGAUGGGAUUUAGAUUGAGUUGAACCAAAGAUUACUGUAAGGAAAGCAAGUUUCAUUUAGUUUAGGUCUUUUUCCUGUAUGAUACUGAAACAUGAAUUUUCAAAUCCCCCUGAAGGUCAAAUCCAGAUUGGUUCACAAAUUAUUAUUUUUUUGUGAUUGUUUCACAAAAAAAUUCAACAAGGUUUCAGUGUGUGGCUUUACAAAACUUUUAUUCCUUAAAUAAUAAUUACUUGUAAUAAAGUUUAAAAUUAUCUGUAAAAGAAUGUAAAAUCCACAUAAACUCUAGCUCUAGUUUCUACCAGCAAGCAAGAUCCCAUUUGAAGUAUUCUUGGAUACCAUAUUUGAGGUGAAUGUCAGUGUAGUGGCACUUGCCUUCAUAGAGCUUAUGGCCAGAAAAAACUAUCACUCUUCUGCUUCAUUCUCCUAUGUUAUGACAUACAUAGAAUUUAGUCUUCUGCAUUGAGUCUAGUAACCUAUAUUUGACUUAAAUAUGUCAGUAAUGCAACUAAAAUAAACACAUCACCUUUCAGUCUUCAGUAAAAUAAAUAAACAACAUUUUUAAAUCUCCCAUCCUUUAAA